This 345-nucleotide unclassified non-coding RNA is filed under the name soil metagenome. Its description in RNAcentral is "partial contains 5.8S ribosomal RNA, internal transcribed spacer 2, and large subunit ribosomal RNA". The stretch from base 1 to 120 matches the Rfam family "5.8S ribosomal RNA", at positions 35 to 154 of the family's 154-position model. The record is from RNAcentral.
GAUGAAGAACACAGCGAAAUGCGAUACGUAAUGUGAAUUGCAGAAUUCAGUGAAUCAUCGAGUCUUUGAACGCACAUUGCGCCCCCUGGUAUUCCGGGGGGCAUGCCUGUCCGAGCGUCAUUGCUGCCCUCAAGCACGGCUUGUGUGUUGGGCCUCCGUCCUCCUCCCGGGGGACGGGCCCGAAAGGCAGCGGCGGCACCGCGUCCGGUCCUCGAGCGUAUGGGGCUUCGUCACCCGCUCUUGUAGGCCCGGCCGGCGCUUGCCGACACAUCAAUCUUUUUUCCAGGUUGACCUCGGAUCAGGUAGGGAUACCCGCUGAACUUAAGCAUAUCAAUAAGCGGAGGA